GAUGAACGCUGGCGGCGUGCCUAAUACAUGCAAGUCGAGCGAACGGACGAGAAGCUUGCUUCUCUGAUGUUAGCGGCGGACGGGUGAGUAACACGUGGAUAACCUACCUAUAAGACUGGGAUAACUUCGGGAAACCGGAGCUAAUACCGGAUGAUAUUUUGAACCGCAUGGUUCAAAAGUGAAAGACGGUCUUGCUGUCACUUAUAGAUGGAUCCGCGCUGCAUUAGCUAGUUGGUAAGGUAACGGCUUACCAAGGCAACGAUGCAUAGCCGACCUGAGAGGGUGAUCGGCCACACUGGAACUGGACCACGGUCCAGACUCCUACGGGAGGCAGCAGUAGGGAAUCUUCCGCAAUAGGCGGGAGCCUGACGGAGCGACGCCGCGUGAGUGAUGAAGGUCUUCGGAUCGUAAAACUCUGUUAUUAGGGAAGAACAUAUGUGUAAGUAACUGUGCACAUCUUGACGGUACCUAAUCAGAAAGCCACGGCUAACUACGUG
Molecule: ribosomal RNA, 497 nt
Filed under: uncultured bacterium
Lineage: Bacteria
Description: partial 16S ribosomal RNA
Rfam family: Bacterial small subunit ribosomal RNA
Source: RNAcentral